Molecule: ribosomal RNA, 429 nt
Filed under: uncultured bacterium
Lineage: Bacteria
Description: bacterial SSU rRNA
Rfam family: Bacterial small subunit ribosomal RNA
Source: RNAcentral
UGGGGAAUAUUGGACAAUGGGCGCAAGCCUGAUCCAGCAAUGCCGCGUGGGUGAAGACGGCCUGCGGGUUGUAAAGCCCUUUGGGUGGGGAAGAACGGUGGUUUGCGAACAGUGGACCGCUCUGACAUUACCCACGGAACAAGCACCGGCUAACUCCGUGCCAGCAGCCGCGGUAAUACGGAGGGUGCGAGCGUUAAUCGGAAUUACUGGGCGUAAAGCGUGCGUAGGCGGAUGGGUCAGUCAGCCGUGAAAGCCCCGGGCUCAACCUGGGAACGGCGGUUGAGACGGCCGGUCUGGAGUGGGCUAGAGGACUGUGGAACUCCCGGUGUAGCGGUGAAAUGCGUAGAGAUCGGGAAGAACACCGAUGGCGAAGGCAGCGGUCUGGGGCCACACUGACGCUGAGGCACGACGGCGUGGGGAGCAAACAGG